This 383-nucleotide RNase P RNA is filed under the name Halalkalibacter wakoensis JCM 9140. RNAcentral's name for it is "Bacillus wakoensis JCM 9140 Bacterial RNase P class B". It matches the Rfam family "Bacterial RNase P class B". Rfam says of the family: Ribonuclease P (RNase P) is a ubiquitous endoribonuclease, found in archaea, bacteria and eukarya as well as chloroplasts and mitochondria. Its best characterised activity is the generation of mature 5'-ends of tRNAs by cleaving the 5'-leader elements of precursor-tRNAs. The record is from Rfam by way of RNAcentral. Lineage: Bacteria; Bacillati; Bacillota; Bacilli; Caryophanales; Bacillaceae.
ACGUUCAGGUAAUCGCUGCAUCUUUUGAUGUAGAGGAAAGUCCAUGCUCGCACGAUCUGAAAUGAUCGUAGUGUUCGUGCCUAGCCAAUAAAUAAGCUAAGGCAACUUGGUCUAGACUAGGUUGACGGCAGGGAAAAGAACCUAAGGCAUCUGCUAUGGUCGAGUACCCUUGAAAGUGCCACAGUGACGAAGCUCUUUUGGAAACGAAAGAGGUGGAACGCGGUAAACCCCACGAGCGAGAAACCCAAAUUUGGUAGGGGAACGAUCUUGAAGGAAUAACAACGGAGAGAUCGACAGACACAGUCUUGUAGAUAGAUGAUUACCACCGGAGUACGAGGGUAAAACCGUUCGCAGUACAAUGGUACAAAACAUGGCUUAUCGAA